CGAUAAAAAAUACAAAAACAAUACAUCACAGAAACCGAUGAUGUCUUCAAACAGCAUUGAGCGCAUCCCGCUUUAUUAGAGUCUCUUCCUGAAGGGCGGAAUGGUUUAGGAAGUAAGAGUAGAGAGAAAGCCUAUCGGGUGUAGUCUUGGAUUGAAAGAUGGAAACAAUUGUAUCCGCGGUUGUUCGGGCGCACAGUUCUUGGGAGCGCAAAGUAAUCAAGCCAUAGAGGUUGAGCACGUAAUUCUGUCGUAACUACAGCUGAACAAGGAUUUUACUACAGGCUUCUGUCACGACUUGAUGAGGGGUUGCUAACGGACGCGAGGUCACGGAGAGGCAAUAUAUCCCUGGUGGUAUGGUGUUUAUUUCGAGUGUGGUGGGGGUUCUUCAGAGCUGCCGAACCCUCCUGGAUACGAGCCUGCCGAGGUACUGACAAACUGGCUUCUUAAAUGAAAAAAGAAUUUGCGGUAAAGGGAAAAAAUAAAACAAGUGCUUUUAAUAUCAAAGCAACAGGAGGGCCUGAUAUAUUGUUAUAUCUUGUUCUACUUUAUUUUUCACUAAAUGCAUCCUGCUAUGGAGAUGUUUAGGCUUUGGAAAAAAGUUGAGCUUGAAAGUACACAUUAAUCACAGUGUCGAUCAGUAUGGUUUUCAAUUUCUGCUCUUGACAGGUAUAAGAGAGACUAGGGAGGGGGAGUUCUUGCAUACCCACCCCUCCAGCCCGAGUACCUGCCUCAAUACACUUCUAUCUAUAUUUCUAGCUAUAUUUCAAAAACUCUUAAAAUAAAAUGUAUAAUGAUAGCUCUUGACAGCUCUAGACAGGAAUAAAUGCUAGUCAAUAACUUACAGUAUUAUUUUAAGAACUUGUUGCUUAGUACUCGUGUGGAAGGUUUAGAAAUUGACCUUUUAGGGCCACCUACUUUCUCACCUUUUUUCCUCUUUAAGAUAUGAUAUAAGGGAAUUUGUUAUUAGGGCCAAAUAUGUAAUAAGAUCAUGCCACAUUUAUAAUAACACAUCUCAAACUAAAUCGGAAUGGAAGCUAAGACAAAAACAACGCCUUUUCAAGUCGCACUUUCUUUUUAGGUUGCAUUUCCAUUUUUUCUUUCAUGUUGACAUCCAUCUUUUUCCUUACAUCUGUACAACCUUUAGUUAUUAGUCAAUAGAUAAAGUUAUUACAUAACAUCAUAACAUCGACAAAAGGGCAUGGACAUAGAAAAAAAAACAUUUCUCUAUGCUGUUAUGUCAUCGUUGCUGCACCUGCGUGCACCACGCUUUAUUUCGUUAUUCUGUUAUGUCUAUAUGCUGUUAUGUCGUUAUGUCGAUAUGCUGUUAUGUCGUUAUGUCGAUAUGCUGUUAUGUCAUCGUUUACUGCAUCUGUGUCACACCACGCUUUAUUUCGUUAUGCUGUUAUGUCGAUAUGCUGUUAUGUCGUUAUGUUGUGAUGUCAUCGCUGCACCUGCGUGUACUACGCUUUAUUUCGCUAUGUUGUUAUGUCGAUAUGCUGUUAGGUCGAUAUUCUGUUAUGCCGUUAUGCUGUUAUGUCAUUGUUGCUGCACCUGUGUGCACCGCGCUUUAUUUAGUUGUGUUGUUAUGUCGAUAUGCCUUUAUGUCGUUAUGUCGCCCGACAAACAAAUGGGAUAAAAAUUAGGUAUCUUUUGUAAACAUUAAUUCGUAGAGAGCAGGUGUCCCUAUCUGUACCAGCAGAGCUAUCUUUACGCCUGUUUUCGGUAGGUGUUGAGGAGGAGGGAGAGGAAGGGGGGAGUUCUUGCAUACCCACCCCUCCAGCCCGAGUACCUGCCUCAAUACACUUCUAUCUAUAUUUCUAGCUAUAUUUCAAAAACUCUUAAAAUAAAAUGUCCUCAUUUUAGUAUCUUGUCUUUCUCAUCUAGCAGUGAUAAUAUAUAGUUCACCUCCUACGCUCAUAGGAUACUUUCUAAAGAGUCCUUUUUUGCAUACUAGCCAGUACGUGGCUAAGGGCGGAAUCGCCUCUCUCUAUUGAUCUACAAUCGGAAAAGUGUUCUAAUUUUGCAUAUGGACGUAAUCUAUUGAUCUUCGCCGUAGUUCCGGUGAUCCAGGCCUUGUGUGCCCAAUAGGCGCGAAGAGGACAGGCAACAGCAGUUCCGGCGAUCAGAAAAGAUGGAUCUAUUUGGUUGUAGCGCGGUGUCCUUCAGGGGUGGAUGGUUAAUCUGUUGAUAUUUGCUGCUCAAUAACUCCUCAUACAAACACCAAGUUUUUCAAAACGCUAUGAAGACAUAGACAGAAGAAUCGCCUCUCCAUACUGAUCUAAAAUCAGGAAAGUGUUCUAGCUUUGCAUAUGGACGUAAUCUAUUGAUCUUCGCCGUAGUUCCGGUGAUCGAGACAUUGUGUGCCUCAUAGACGUGAAGUGGACAAGUAACAGCAGUUCCGGCGAUCAGAAAUGAUAGAUCUAUUUGGUUGUAGCGCGGUGUCCUUCAGGGGCGGAUUGUUAAAGUAGGGUGAUAGAAUUCUUCCGACGGACGCUGUUUGAGUUUACCGACAGAAUAGAAGCUGAGCCCACUAUUAUGAAUAUCAAUAUCAAUCAAUAUAUCUACAGUAGACCCUUUCAUCCUUACGAUAACAACCAUGGAACCUUUUUAUUCAUCGCGUUCUCAUUAUAAAAUCUAGAACCUGUUUGUAAAAAAUAAUUCGAUUUCCGAGGCACGUCGUAAAAUACAGGCGUUACUGUACACAAAAUUGGUCUCGUGUUUUCUUAAAACAUGGAAAUAAAGUUAACUAGAACAGAAUACGAGAAACACUGUGUAAACUAUGUAUCUCUUUUAAUUAAGAAAUCUAUUAAAAGAAAUUAUUUGGUGGCAGCGAACAAUA
Long non-coding RNA from Nematostella vectensis (starlet sea anemone), 2839 nucleotides. RefSeq lists it as uncharacterized. The transcript has 3 exons. The record is from RefSeq and is a predicted model, not a curated record. NCBI's taxonomy places the organism in Eukaryota, Metazoa, Cnidaria, Anthozoa, Actiniaria, Edwardsiidae.